AUGCGAAACAGCCCUGCGGGGCUGUCGGCGGAGCGCGGUGGCUCCGUCCUGAUGAGCAGCCAGCU
Molecule: non-coding RNA, 65 nt
Filed under: Desulfovibrio sp.
Lineage: Bacteria; Pseudomonadati; Thermodesulfobacteriota; Desulfovibrionia; Desulfovibrionales; Desulfovibrionaceae
Source: RNAcentral